Molecule: ribosomal RNA, 476 nt
Filed under: uncultured bacterium
Lineage: Bacteria
Description: bacterial SSU rRNA
Rfam family: Bacterial small subunit ribosomal RNA
Source: RNAcentral
AGAGUUUGAUCCUGGCUCAGAUUGAACGCUGGCGGCAUGCCUUACACAUGCAAGUCGAACGGCAGCGCGGGGCAACCUGGCGGCGAGUGGCGAACGGGUGAGUAAUAUAUCGGAACGUGCCCUGGAGUGGGGGAUAACGUAGCGAAAGUUACGCUAAUACCGCAUACGAUCCAAGGAUGAAAGCAGGGGACCUUCGGGCCUUGUGCUCCUGGAGCGGCCGAUAUCUGAUUAGCUAGUUGGUGGGGUAAAAGCCUACCAAGGCAUCGAUCAGUAGCUGGUCUGAGAGGACGACCAGCCACACUGGAACUGAGACACGGUCCAGACUCCUACGGGAGGCAGCAGUGGGAAUUUUGGACAAUGGGCGCAAGCCUGAUCCAGCAAUGCCGCGUGAGUGAAGAAGGCCUUCGGGUUGUAAAGCUCUUUUGCCAGGGAAGAUGAUGACUGUACCUGGAGAAUAAGCCCCGGCUAACUUCGUG